Molecule: ribosomal RNA, 216 nt
Filed under: Glomeromycotina sp.
Lineage: Eukaryota; Fungi; Glomeromycota
Description: partial small subunit ribosomal RNA
Rfam family: Eukaryotic small subunit ribosomal RNA (bases 87-216)
Source: RNAcentral
GGGUCAGUAGGUUGGUCGUGCCACCGGUACGUACUGGUCUCACUGAUUCCUCCUCCCUGAAGAACCGUAAUGCCAUUAAUUUGGUGUUGCGGGGAAACAGGACUGUUACUUUGAAAAAAUUAGAGUGUUUAAAGCAAGCUAACGCUUGAAUACAUUAGCAUGGAAUAAUAAAAUAGGACGAUCGAUCCUAUUUUGUUGGUUUCUAGGAUUGACGUA